UAGAUGGAUGCUCGCUGGUUUGAGCGCUUAGCUGUUAACUAAGAGUUCGUGGAAUCGAAGUCCACCCGUCUAG
RNAcentral lists this transfer RNA (73 nucleotides) under Priacanthus tayenus (purple-spotted bigeye). Its description in RNAcentral is "tRNA-Asn". It matches the Rfam family "tRNA". Rfam says of the family: Transfer RNA (tRNA) molecules are approximately 80 nucleotides in length. Their secondary structure includes four short double-helical elements and three loops (D, anti-codon, and T loops). Further hydrogen bonds mediate the characteristic L-shaped molecular structure. tRNAs have two regions of fundamental functional importance: the anti-codon, which is responsible for specific mRNA codon recognition, and the 3' end, to which the tRNAs corresponding amino acid is attached (by aminoacyl-tRNA synthetases). tRNAs cope with the degeneracy of the genetic code in two manners: having more than one tRNA (with a specific anti-codon) for a particular amino acid; and 'wobble' base-pairing, i.e. permitting non-standard base-pairing at the 3rd anti-codon position. Lineage: Eukaryota; Metazoa; Chordata; Actinopteri; Priacanthiformes; Priacanthidae. The record is from RNAcentral.